UGAUCCCAGGCAGACAACAUAAAUGGU
Molecule: non-coding RNA, 27 nt
Filed under: Mus musculus (house mouse)
Lineage: Eukaryota; Metazoa; Chordata; Mammalia; Rodentia; Muridae
Source: RNAcentral